GGUUGAUCCUGCCAGUAGUGCACGCUCGUCUCAAAGACUAAGCCAUGCAUGUCUAAGUAUAAAUUGAAAUACAGUGAAACUGCGAAUGGCUCAUUAUAUCAGAAAUCAUCUACAUGAUGGAUUUUUUACUUGGGUAACUGAGGCAAAUCUUGAGCUAAUACAUGCACUAAAGCCCUGACUUCGGGAGGGGCGUAUAUAUUAGAUAAAAAACCAACCGGGCAACCGUUCUUUGGUGAUUCAUGAUAUCUGCUCGAAUCGCACGGUUUCAUACUGGCGAUGGUUCAUUCGAAUUU
Molecule: ribosomal RNA, 293 nt
Filed under: uncultured eukaryote
Lineage: Eukaryota
Description: partial 18S ribosomal RNA
Rfam family: Eukaryotic small subunit ribosomal RNA
Source: RNAcentral